This 71-nucleotide transfer RNA is filed under the name Streptococcus pneumoniae. Its description in RNAcentral is "tRNA-Trp(cca)". It matches the Rfam family "tRNA". Rfam says of the family: Transfer RNA (tRNA) molecules are approximately 80 nucleotides in length. Their secondary structure includes four short double-helical elements and three loops (D, anti-codon, and T loops). The record is from RNAcentral. Lineage: Bacteria; Bacillati; Bacillota; Bacilli; Lactobacillales; Streptococcaceae.
ACGGGCAUAGUUUAAAGGUAGAACUAAGGUCUCCAAAACCUUCAGUGUGAGUUCGAUUCUCGUCACCCGCU